This is a long non-coding RNA of Paramormyrops kingsleyae, 1137 nucleotides long. RefSeq lists it as uncharacterized. The record is from RefSeq and is a predicted model, not a curated record. NCBI's taxonomy places the organism in Eukaryota, Metazoa, Chordata, Actinopteri, Osteoglossiformes, Mormyridae.
UGUAACACUGGCCACCGCCACCACACAGGCAUCAGGCACUUGCUGCUGGAGGGGGACCUGCCUGUAUCGCGCUCCAAGGACGCCCUGAAGUACGUGCCCUGUACGUGACAAGCGAUUAUUACUGCAAGUGGCCCAAAGCGCGUUUCCCUUCCGAGAAUUUCCACACAUUUCGGUUACUUUCUUGAUGAGGCAAGAAAACAUCACAGAAGCAACUAGCGAAGCAAAAUAAACGGCAACAAAAUAAUUAACGAGUUGCUCGCAAAAGAUGAUAGUGAACAUCAGACAAUUAAAAGCGCGACGGACUUAUUCCACGCAAAAGCAUGCGUUCUCUUCUUCCCAUGGACUGCUCAGGUGGACUACAUAAGCACUGAGAGCAAGCUUGGACGUCUUCCGACGUCUAGUUUCUCUGUGUCCCGCUGCGUUUCUAUAGGUGUCAUCCAGUACGAGCUCAGCCACGUCAUGGGCUUCUGUCAUGAGCACACCAGGAGUCACUGGGACCAGUGAGUUAGGAUCAACUGGGAAAACAUUCCACAAGGUGGAGAUGAAACGCUUGGCAACCAGUGUUUGUGAGAGGUUUGUCCAACUUUGACGGCAGCAGCACCAGCAGAGAGUUACAGUUUCCCACAGAUGCCACUUACAACCUCAACAAGCAAUAUCAAGAAACCUGGAUACUCCCUUUGAUCAGGGGCACCAUACAGCUGGGGAAAGUUAGAACGAUUCCAAUUUUAGAACAUAUUUGGUCUGGCCUGGGUUUGAGGCCCAAUAUGAUGUGCUUUCUUGGGGCCCAGAAUCUCUAGAGUAUGAGAGGUAUGAUACUUCCAUUUUAUCUUCACCUUUUGGUAUUGGAAGCACUGCUUGACGUCUAAAAACCAAAUUAGAACUUUCUGAAGACCACCUCAUGAUUUUUAGAAAGUUCUACCCUUUUUCGUUUUGAUUUAGUAAACCUUCAUGCCAAUUUCAGAACUGCCUUCGCGAGUUCCUAUGGCGAGGACACCGUCACCCCUACACCAGACCCCACUGGGCAAAUCAGACAGAGGGAUCAGUUGUCCAUCAUUGACACUAAGAGGAUCAAGCUGCUUUAAAACUGCAAUGUAUAAUAAAAAAUCUAAAUCUGACGAUGUACCAUAGGAAUCAAAG